Molecule: ribosomal RNA, 407 nt
Filed under: uncultured bacterium
Lineage: Bacteria
Description: partial 16S ribosomal RNA
Rfam family: Bacterial small subunit ribosomal RNA
Source: RNAcentral
AUUGAACGCUGGCGGGAGGCCUAACACAUGCAAGUCGAGCGGAGUGGCGGACGGGUGAGUAAUGUCUCGGAACGUGCCCGGUAGUGGGGGAUAACUUCCGGAAAGGGUAGCUAAUACCGCAUACUAUUAGAUGAGCCUCGGUCGGAUUAGCUAGUUGGUGGGGUAAAGGCCUACCAAGGCGACGAUCCGUAACUGGUCUGAGAGGAGGAUCAGUCACACUGGAACUGAGACACGGUCCAGACUCCUACGGGAGGCAGCAGUGGGGAAUAUUGGACAAUGGGCGAAAGCCUGAUCCAGCCAUGCCGCGUGUGUGAAGAAGGUCUUCGGAUUGUAAAGCACUUUAAGUUGGGAGGCGUUACCAACAGAAUAAGCACCGGCUAACUUCGUGCCAGCAGCCGCGGUAAUAC